Molecule: ribosomal RNA, 253 nt
Filed under: uncultured bacterium
Lineage: Bacteria
Description: partial 16S ribosomal RNA
Rfam family: Bacterial small subunit ribosomal RNA
Source: RNAcentral
UACGUAGGGGGCAAGCGUUGUCCGGAUGUAUUGGGCGUAAAGAGCGUGUAGGCGGCCUGAAGGGUCAGCUGUGAAAACUCGAGGCUCAACCUCGAGACGUCGGUUGAAACCAUCUGGCUAGAGUCCGGAAGAGGAGUGUGGAAUUCCCGGUGUAGCGGUGAAAUGCGCAGAUAUCGGGAAGAACACCCGUGGCGAAGGCGGCACUCUGGGACGGUACUGACCCUGAGACGCGAAAGCGUGGGGAGCGAACAGG